AGAUGUGAGCGUGAUCUGGCUGUGACAUCUGUCACCCCAUUGAUCACCAGGGUUGAUUCGGCUGCUCUGGCUGGCUAGAUGGGUGUCCCCUUCCUCCCUCACCACUCCAUGUAUGUCCCAUCCCGAAGCUGUGCUCAGUCAAAGAGGAUGACCUUCCCAGAAUAGACAAGGAUGAGUCUUCGGUCAAGGGUAUACGAGUAGCUGCACUCCUCUUCUAGAACCUCCAAACAAGCUCUCAGGAAGACAGAGGGCUGUAGACAUGCCUGUACUGGAUGCUGCUGUGCCUAAUCUCAUAGAACAAACACUAGGGGACACAAGCAACAGAGCAGCCUAGUCACAAAC
Non-coding RNA from Mesocricetus auratus (golden hamster), 342 nucleotides. Lineage: Eukaryota; Metazoa; Chordata; Mammalia; Rodentia; Cricetidae. The record is from Rfam.